RNAcentral lists this ribosomal RNA (1126 nucleotides) under Escherichia coli. RNAcentral's name for it is "partial 23S ribosomal RNA". It matches the Rfam family "Bacterial large subunit ribosomal RNA", at positions 1291 to 2402 of the family's 2925-position model. The record is from RNAcentral. Lineage: Bacteria; Pseudomonadati; Pseudomonadota; Gammaproteobacteria; Enterobacterales; Enterobacteriaceae.
CGAAUGCUGACAUAAGUAACGAUAAAGCGGGUGAAAAGCCCGCUCGCCGGAAGACCAAGGGUUCCUGUCCAACGUUAAUCGGGGCAGGGUGAGUCGACCCCUAAGGCGAGGCCGAAAGGCGUAGUCGAUGGGAAACAGGUUAAUAUUCCUGUACUUGGUGUUACUGCGAAGGGGGGACGGAGAAGGCUAUGUUGGCCGGGCGACGGUUGUCCCGGUUUAAGCGUGUAGGCUGGUUUUCCAGGCAAAUCCGGAAAAUCAAGGCUGAGGCGUGAUGACGAGGCACUACGGUGCUGAAGCAACAAAUGCCCUGCUUCCAGGAAAAGCCUCUAAGCAUCAGGUAACAUCAAAUCGUACCCCAAACCGACACAGGUGGUCAGGUAGAGAAUACCAAGGCGCUUGAGAGAACUCGGGUGAAGGAACUAGGCAAAAUGGUGCCGUAACUUCGGGAGAAGGCACGCUGAUAUGUAGGUGAAGUCCCUCGCGGAUGGAGCUGAAAUCAGUCGAAGAUACCAGCUGGCUGCAACUGUUUAUUAAAAACACAGCACUGUGCAAACACGAAAGUGGACGUAUACGGUGUGACGCCUGCCCGGUGCCGGAAGGUUAAUUGAUGGGGUUAGCGCAAGCGAAGCUCUUGAUCGAAGCCCCGGUAAACGGCGGCCGUAACUAUAACGGUCCUAAGGUAGCGAAAUUCCUUGUCGGGUAAGUUCCGACCUGCACGAAUGGCGUAAUGAUGGCCAGGCUGUCUCCACCCGAGACUCAGUGAAAUUGAACUCGCUGUGAAGAUGCAGUGUACCCGCGGCAAGACGGAAAGACCCCGUGAACCUUUACUAUAGCUUGACACUGAACAUUGAGCCUUGAUGUGUAGGAUAGGUGGGAGGCUUUGAAGUGUGGACGCCAGUCUGCAUGGAGCCGACCUUGAAAUACCACCCUUUAAUGUUUGAUGUUCUAACGUUGACCCGUAAUCCGGGUUGCGGACAGUGUCUGGUGGGUAGUUUGACUGGGGCGGUCUCCUCCUAAAGAGUAACGGAGGAGCACGAAGGUUGGCUAAUCCUGGUCGGACAUCAGGAGGUUAGUGCAAUGGCAUAAGCCAGCUUGACUGCGAGCGUGACGGCGCGAGCAGGUGCGA